CCUACGGGAGGCAGCAGUGAGGAAUAUUGGUCAAUGGGCGCGAGCCUGAACCAGCCAAGUCGCGUGAAGGAUGACUGCCCUACGGGUUGUAAACUUCUUUUAUAAAGGAAUAAAGUUAGGCACGUGUGCCUUUUUGCAUGUACUUUAUGAAUAAGCAUCGGCUAACUCCGUGCCAGCAGCCGCGGUAAUACGGAGGAUCCGAGCGUUAUCCGGAUUUAUUGGGUUUAAAGGGAGCGUAGGUGGGUUGUUAAGUCAGUUGUGAAAGUUUGUGGCUCAACCAUAAAAUUGCCAUUGAAACUGGAAGCCUUGAGUACAGUUGAGGUAGGCGGAAUGCGUGGUGUAGCGGUGAAAUGCUUAGAUAUCACGCAGAACUCCGAUUGCGAAGGCAGCCUACUAAGCUGCCACUGACAUUGAUGCUCGAAAGUGUGGGUAUCAAACAGGAUUAGAUACCCUGGUAGUC
Molecule: ribosomal RNA, 460 nt
Filed under: uncultured bacterium
Lineage: Bacteria
Description: partial 16S ribosomal RNA
Rfam family: Bacterial small subunit ribosomal RNA
Source: RNAcentral